GACGAACGCUGGCGGCGUGCUUAACACAUGCAAGUCGAACGGACGAGUGAGAUAAGUUUACUUAACUCACAAGUUAGUGGCGGACGGGUGAGUAACACGUGGAUAAUCUACCUGCAACACCGGGAUAACGCUGUGAAAACGGUGCUAAUACCGGAUACGUUCCCUUGUGCGCAUGUAUGAGGGAAGAAAGCUCAGGCGGUUGCAGAUGAGUCCGCGGCUGAUUAGCUAGUUGGUGAGGUAAAGGCUCACCAAGGCGAUGAUCAGUAGCCGGCCUGAGAGGGUGAACGGCCACACUGGGACUGAGACACGGCCCAGACUCCUACGGGAGGCAGCAGUGGGGAAUCUUCCGCAAUGGGCGCAAGCCUGACGGAGCAACGCCGCGUGGUGAAGAAGGCCUUCGGUGUAAGCCUGUCUUAUGGGAAGAAGUCAGUGACGGUACCAUAGGAGGAAGCCACGGCUAACUACGUGCCAGCAGCCGCGGUAAAAGUCACGG
RNAcentral lists this ribosomal RNA (493 nucleotides) under uncultured bacterium. RNAcentral's name for it is "bacterial SSU rRNA". It matches the Rfam family "Bacterial small subunit ribosomal RNA", at positions 28 to 530 of the family's 1533-position model. The record is from RNAcentral.